AUACGAAGGGGGCUAGCGUUGUUCGGAAUCACUGGGCGUAAAGCGCGCGUAGGUGGAUCAAUUAGUUGAGGGUGAAAUCCCGGGGCUCAACCUCGGAACUGCCUUCAAUACUGUUGAUCUUGAGACCGAGAGAGGUGAGUGGAAUUCCUAGUGUAGAGGUGAAAUUCGUAGAUAUUAGGAAGAACACCAGUGACGAAGGCGGCUCACUGGCUCGGUACUGACGCUGAGGUGCGAAAGCGUGGGGAGCAAACAGGAUUAGAAACCCCAGUAGUCC
This 274-nucleotide ribosomal RNA is filed under the name uncultured bacterium. RNAcentral describes it as "partial 16S ribosomal RNA". It matches the Rfam family "Bacterial small subunit ribosomal RNA", at positions 523 to 796 of the family's 1533-position model. The record is from RNAcentral.